ACCACACACUGACAACAUGCUGGGGACCCUCUGCACUCUCAUCACUGCUCUAACAUAUGUUGAUGCAGUGAAAGUGGUGACCCAGACGCCUGCUGUCCACACAGUUUCUGCAGGACAAAAGGUUGUUCUCCACUGCAGCAUUCAGAGAUAUGAUAAUAAAUAUGUCUUCUGGUAUAAGCAGGUUCCUAAUGAACCUCCUGAGAAUGUUCUCCAAUUUAACCAUGGUCAAAGUUCACCCAGCUUUGGAACAGGAUUCUCCUCAGACAGAUUCAACUCUAAAUCCACAUCAAACAUAGAUUACCAGUUCAUCAUUAAGAGGGCAGAGGCAGGAGACUCUGCUGUCUAUUACUGUGCUACAUGGGACGACAUUGCUAAGAAACACACCAACUGAACCUGCCCAACUUCCGCCCAUCAGCUCAUCAGCCUGUCAGUAUUUCAAGCCCGGCUCUACUUUCUCUUCUGACCUGCAAUAAAUGCAGUCAGAAUUUCGUGAAGGUGUUGUGUUAACUUUGCAAAUGUAUUAAGACCCAGUCAAUAAAAAAAGCAUU
Non-coding RNA from Chelmon rostratus (copperband butterflyfish), 548 nucleotides. NCBI's taxonomy places the organism in Eukaryota, Metazoa, Chordata, Actinopteri, Chaetodontiformes, Chaetodontidae. The record is from the annotation of a RefSeq genome assembly.